CUUCAAAUGGCGUCGUGUUCACGAUAGUCAAAGGUUCACCACCGCUCUUGUGAUUUUAACGAGUGGAACAUUUUCCAAAUUCAAAUUCCAAAUUCAAGAGUUGUAGCAUGUUUGUUGACGUCUUCAAGAUUAUGGUCUCUGUCGUCUGCUUGCCGAUUGAGAGAGGAGGCGACAACAUCCAGCCAGAGUCAGAGUGUUUGAUUUGUGAGCAUGCAAACACUAUCAGGUGGCCAUGUAGGCGAUCACCGACAGCUAUAAAAGACCUAAGCAGGGUCGGGCCUGUUUAGUACUUGGAUGGAAGAACACCAGGUGCUGUAAGCCUUUUCCGCUUUUACCAACAACAUGAGAUAGCGCUGCUGUGUCUCCUUGCUCAAAGUCAUACAUGAACUGUAUGUCUAGCAUAUGCUGUCCUUGCCUAUGAAUGGGUUUUGUGCAAA
Long non-coding RNA from Mugil cephalus (flathead mullet), 437 nucleotides. RefSeq lists it as uncharacterized. The record is from RefSeq and is a predicted model, not a curated record. The transcript is spliced from 3 exons. Lineage: Eukaryota; Metazoa; Chordata; Actinopteri; Mugiliformes; Mugilidae.